AACGGAGUAGAGUAAAUUGGUUAACUCAUUAGGCUCAUGAUCUAAAGUUAUAGGUUCGAAUCCCAUCUCCGUAA
This 74-nucleotide transfer RNA is filed under the name Polyopes affinis. Its description in RNAcentral is "tRNA-Met". It matches the Rfam family "tRNA". Rfam says of the family: Transfer RNA (tRNA) molecules are approximately 80 nucleotides in length. The record is from RNAcentral. Lineage: Eukaryota; Rhodophyta; Florideophyceae; Halymeniales; Halymeniaceae.